Molecule: non-coding RNA, 82 nt
Organism: Drosophila persimilis
Lineage: Eukaryota; Metazoa; Arthropoda; Insecta; Diptera; Drosophilidae
Source: Rfam
CAUACUCUGAUGAAUAUAACUAUUUUCUGACAUCUCUUAUGAACCGUUGUGAUUCAAUACAAUUUGUGUAAUUUCUGAAGCC